GUGGAUUAGAUACCCGGGUAGUCCACGCCGUAAACUAUGGAUGCUAGCUGUUAGAGGUAUCGACCCCUCUAGUAGCGAAGCUAACGCGUUAAGCAUCCCGCCUGUGGAGUACGGUCGCAAGACUAAAACAUAAAGGAAUUGACGGGGACCCGCACAAGCGGUGGAGCGUGUUGUUUAAUUCGAUGGUAAGCGAAGAACCUUACCCAGGCUUGACAUCCUUGGAAGCACUUCGAAAGAAGCGUGUGCCUUCGGGAACCAAGUGACAGGUGCUGCAUGGCCGUCGUCAGCU
This 289-nucleotide ribosomal RNA is filed under the name uncultured bacterium. RNAcentral describes it as "partial 16S ribosomal RNA". It matches the Rfam family "Bacterial small subunit ribosomal RNA", at positions 773 to 1060 of the family's 1533-position model. The record is from RNAcentral.